Molecule: non-coding RNA, 21 nt
Filed under: Caenorhabditis elegans
Lineage: Eukaryota; Metazoa; Nematoda; Chromadorea; Rhabditida; Rhabditidae
Source: RNAcentral
UGUAAGCCUUGGUUCUGUUCC